UACUUAGUGGCGGACGGGUGAGUAACGCGUGGAGUAUACACUUUAUAAUAGUACAAAGCAGACCGUGUUAUUUAUUACUGUAAUAAAGAUACAAACAACAUUCUUAUGGGAGCACAGAGGAGGAAUAAAUACAAUUUGAAUGGAAUAGUUGGUUGCAUUAAGCGUUUUGAUCCCGUGUCUCUAACCACUUUACUAGUUCUGUAACUGUGAACAUGUCCUUGGCUGCACAAAACCUCGGUUUCUCAUUUGUAAAUUGAAGAUAAUAAGAGAAUGUUUCUUGAAGAUAAU
Molecule: ribosomal RNA, 288 nt
Filed under: uncultured bacterium
Lineage: Bacteria
Description: partial 16S ribosomal RNA
Source: RNAcentral